Molecule: ribosomal RNA, 484 nt
Filed under: uncultured bacterium
Lineage: Bacteria
Description: partial 16S ribosomal RNA
Rfam family: Bacterial small subunit ribosomal RNA
Source: RNAcentral
AUUGAACGCUGGCGGCAGGCCUAACACAUGCAAGUCGAGCGGAUGAAGGGAGCUUGCUCCUGGAUUCAGCGGCGGACGGGUGGGUAAUGCCUAGGAAUCUGCCUUGUAGUGGGGGAUAACGUCCGGAAACGGACGCUAAUACCGCAUACGUCCUGAUGGAGAAAGUGGGGGAUCUUCGGACCUCACGCUAUCUGAUGAGCCUAGGUCGGAUUAGCUAGUUGGUAGGGUAAAGGCCUACCAAGGCGACGAUCCGUACCUGGUCUGAGAGGAUGAUCAGUCACACUGGAACUGAGACACGGUCCAGACUCCUACGGGAGGCAGCAGUGGGGAAUAUUGGACAAUGGGCGAAAGCCUGAUCCAGCCAUGCCGCGUGUGUGAAGAAGGUCUUCGGAUUGUAAAGCACUGUAAGUUGGGAGGAAGGGAAGUAAGUUAAUACCUUGCUGUUUUGACGUUACCAACAGAAUAAGCACCGGCUAACUUCGUG